GCCGGGUGUGGUGGCACACACCUGUAAUCCCAGUGGCUCAGGAGGCUGAGGCAGGAGGACCACGAGUUCAAAGCCAGCCUCAG
Molecule: small RNA, 83 nt
Filed under: Marmota monax (woodchuck)
Lineage: Eukaryota; Metazoa; Chordata; Mammalia; Rodentia; Sciuridae
Source: RNAcentral